Non-coding RNA from Laetiporus sulphureus 93-53, 75 nucleotides. The record is from the annotation of a RefSeq genome assembly. NCBI's taxonomy places the organism in Eukaryota, Fungi, Basidiomycota, Agaricomycetes, Polyporales, Laetiporaceae.
AGCGGCAUGGCGCAGGUGGAACCGCGUGGGGGCUCAUAACUCCCGAGGUCACUCGAUCGAAACGAGUUGCUGCUG